Molecule: ribosomal RNA, 595 nt
Filed under: uncultured bacterium
Lineage: Bacteria
Description: bacterial SSU rRNA
Rfam family: Bacterial small subunit ribosomal RNA
Source: RNAcentral
CCUACGGGAGGCAGCAGUGGGGAAUUUUCCGCAAUGGGCGAAAGCCUGACGGAGCAAUACCGCGUGAGGGAGGAAGGCUCUUGGGUUGUAAACCUCUUUUUUCAGGGAAGAUAAUGACGGUACCUGAGGAAUAAGCAUCGGCUAACUCCGUGCCAGCAGCCGCGGUAAUACGGAGGAUGCAAGCGUUAUCCGGAAUGAUUGGGCGUAAAGCGUCCGCAGGUGGUUUUAAAAGUCUGUUGUUAAAGCGUGAGGCUUAACCUCAUAAGGGCAAUGGAAACUGUAAGACUAGAGUACGUUCGGGGCAAGGGGAAUUCCCAGUGUAGCGGUGAAAUGCGUAGAGAUUGGGAAGAACACCGGUGGCGAAAGCGCCUUGCUAGGCCGUAACUGACACUGAGGGACGAAAGCUAGGGGAGCGAAUGGGAUUAGAUACCCCAGUAGUCCUAGCCGUAAACGAUGGAUACUAGGCGUUGUCUGUAUCGACCCGGACAGUGCCGUAGCUAACGCGUUAAGUAUCCCGCCUGGGAGUCGCACGCAAGUGUGAACACAAGAAGUAGACGCGUGAGACGNGCCGACGGAACGACGACGAGGGAGUAGG